AGUGAACGCUGGCGGUAGGCCUAACACAUGCAAGUCGAACGGCAGCACAGUAAGAGCUUGCUCUUACGGGUGGCGAGUGGCGGACGGGUGAGGAAUACAUCGGAAUCUACUUUUUCGUGGGGGAUAACGUAGGGAAACUUACGCUAAUCCCGCAUACGACCUACGGGUGAAAGCAGGGGAUCUUCGCACCUUGCGCGAUUGAAUGAGCCGAUGUCGGAUUAGCUAGUUGGCGGGGUAAAGGCCCACCAAGGCGACGAUCCGUAGCUGGUCUGAGAGGAUGGUCGGCCACACUGGAACUGAGACACGGUCCAGACUCCUACGGGAGGCAGCAGUGGGGAAUAUUGGACAAUGGGCGCAAGCCUGAUCCAGCCAUACCGCGUGGGUGAAGAAGGCCUUCGGGUUGUAAAGCCCUUUUGUUGGGAAAGAAAAGCAGCAGGUUAAUACCACGCUGUUCUGACGGUACCCAAAGAAUAAGCACCGGCUAACUUCGUG
This 492-nucleotide ribosomal RNA is filed under the name uncultured bacterium. RNAcentral describes it as "partial 16S ribosomal RNA". It matches the Rfam family "Bacterial small subunit ribosomal RNA", at positions 29 to 507 of the family's 1533-position model. The record is from RNAcentral.